This 3797-nucleotide long non-coding RNA is filed under the name Sorghum bicolor (sorghum). RNAcentral describes it as "long non-coding RNA (SBIC_LNC011439)". The record is from RNAcentral. Lineage: Eukaryota; Viridiplantae; Streptophyta; Magnoliopsida; Poales; Poaceae.
GACCUUCCUUUUCAUGUACAGAGAGGGCUCUGAUUCCUUUCGUCCAGUCUUGUUUCGUGUCCGUUGUUCCUUUUCAUGUACAGAGGAUAUUGGUGAUAGUUAGCACUUGGCAGUGAUGCGUUUAGUCUGUGAAAGUGCUCUGUUGUGAUGAUUCUGAAUCGCAGAUGACAUGGAGAAGAACUCCCACCUCAAGGACCUGCAGGCGCUCGGCCACCUGGAGGUCUUCCGCGCCGACUUGGAUGAAGAUGGCAGCUUUGACGACGCCGUCGCCGGCUGCGACUACGCCUUCCUAGUCGCCGCUCCAGUGAACCUCCACACGAAGAAUCCUGAGGUGAACAAAUGUCACAGCUACUCGAGUUCCAUCUCUCGUUUGUCUAGAGUUGCUGACAGCAUCUGCUCAUACUGUUCAUCAACGUUCAUCCCUUGCUCAAUAAUUGGCGGCAGAAAGAGCUGAUCGAGCCCGCUGUCAGGGGAACUCUGAACGUCAUGCGGUCGUGCGUGAAGGCCGGGACGGUGAGGCGCGUGGUCCUGACCUCGUCGGCGGCCUCGGUCUCCAGCAGGCCGCAGCUGCAAGGCGACGGGCACGUGCUGGACGAAGACUCCUGGUCCGAUGUCGAGUACCUUAGAGCCCACAAGCCUGCAGGGCCCUGGGUACGUCGUACGACGCACGUCAGCCCUUGCAACUGUUUGGUGACGACGAGAAGUUGACAACGACGGCGCUGCUGGACGUGCUUGCUUGCAUUGCAGGCGUACCCGGUGUCCAAGGUGCUCCUGGAGAAGGAGGCGUGCAGGUUCUCGGAGGAGCAUGGCAUCAGCCUCGUCACCGUCUGCCCCGUCGCCACCGUCGGCGAGGCGCCGGCCCCGACCGUGCGCACCAGCGUCCCAAACUGCCUCUCCCUUCUAUCCGGUGAAUCAUUCUGAACUGAACUCAUGGCGCUAAACACGUUCAUCCUCUGGAUCAGAGGUUUGGUGUGGAUGAGUGACACAUGUAUAUGGUGGUCGUCGUUCUGUACCAUUUUCUUCAGGCGACGAGGCAGAGUUCGCGGUGCUGGACGCCAUCGAGAGGGCCACGGGGUGCGUGCCGCUGGUGCACGUCGACGACCUCUGCCGCGCCGAGCUGUUCGUCGCCGAGGAGGUAUCUGCCGCGGGGAGGUACAUCUGCUGCAGCAUCAACACGACCAUCGCCGAGCUCGCGCGUUUCCUCGCGGACAAGUACCCGCAGUACGACGUGAAAACGAGCCUGCUGUAAGAAAGAACCGGCUUCGCAGCUCUGGAUUCUGAUGACAUUUUUGCACCGAUGACUGACUGAUGCCGUUUGGCCGCACUUUUGCAUGCAGCUCCGGCGAGCGGCUUGAGAAGCCGAGAGUGCGUCUGUCGUCCGAGAAGCUGGUGAAGGAAGGGUUCGAGUUCAGGUACAGAACGCUGGAUGACAUGUACGACGACAUGGUCGAGUAUGGCAAGACCCUGGGAAUCCUGCCCAGCUGAUAUGAGUACGUGAUGCUCCUCUAUUUCGGCCGGCGAUCAAGACUAGGGAGUCAGAACACUCCUGCAAAACAAAGCCAAUGCUUUUGCUGCUAGUGUGCUGAACCGUAGCAGUUGAGUCAGUUCGUAUAAGACUAGAAGAAUAUCCACACGCUGCCGCAGGACUUUUCUAGAAAUAAAUUUGUUAUAUGUAUAAUUUUACUAUACGGUACCCUGGGUAUUAUGUAUGUUGCUAAGAUUUGUUUAAGAUCUUACCUUGUUAAAAAGAGGGGCACAAUUAAAUGGAUAAAGCAUGGUGAUGCAGGUACCAGUUUCUUUCAUGCCAAUGCUGCUAUUAGGCACAGAGGAAACGUGAUUACUGAGCUAAUGACAAGGGAUGGGGCUCUUGUCAGUGGUCACAGUGAGAAAGGAGCAGUUCUUUGGGUUGAUUUCAAAUUUAGACUUGGCACCUCAGAAUUCUCGGGGUUCAAUGUUGACCCAACUUUUUUCAUUCAGAGUGUUGAAUAUCUGGACUCUUUAGAAGAACCUUUCAGUUAGACAAAAAAUGACAGUAUCAUCAAAGCCUUGCCAAAUCAAAAGUGACCAGGUCCAAAUGGGUUCAAUAAUGAGUUUUUAAAGAAAUCCUGGCCAGCGAUCAAACAUGACUUCUAUGAUCUGUGUGAUUCCUUCCAUAGCAAUUCAGUUUGCUUGAGGAGCAUAAACUCUUCCUAUAUCACCCUAAUCCCCAAAGUUGAUGGUGCAAGUUCUCUUGCAAAUUUCAGGCCCCAUUUCCCUGCUCAACUCCUCAUUCAAACUUGUCACCAAGCUGGUUGCAAAUAGACUACAGCCUUUAAUAACCUCCAUAGUGCACAAGAGUCAAUAUAGUUUCAUGAAGAAUAGAACAAUCUAGGAUUGUCUGGCUUAGGCUUUUGAGUAUUUACACCUCUGUCAUCACUCAAGGAAGGAAAUAGUCAUCAUCAAGUUAGAUUUUGAGAAAGCAUUUGACAAAAUUGAGCACCAGGCCAUGCUAAUUCCGAUGGAAGAAAAGGGCUUUGGGCAGAAGUGGUUAGAUUGGAUGAAGGCCAUCAUGUCUUCAGGGACCUCUGCUGUACUCCUAAAUGGGGUACCUGGAAAAACAUUUCACUGUAAAAAGGGUGUUAGAGAGGGGGAUCCCCUCUCCCCACUCAUUUUUGUCCUUGCAGCAGAUUUUUUGCAGUCAAUAAUUAACAAGGCAUCAUUCUCUUAUGCUAGACUAUUUGGGCAACAAGGAAUGAGCUCAUUUUUAAAUUAAAUAGUCUGAAUCUGACGGGUUGUCAUAGUAUCUUCUUUAGUGAGUUGAUUAUUCGGAAGAGAAUGAAGACGAAUUAGCAAGACCAAUUAUCUUUAUGGAUUCUGAGUCUACAAUAAACUGCUGGUUGGCUCUAAUUUUCUUUGUUUCUUUUUUUUAUCUUGAACUGGUUCUCUCUCUCCCCCCCCCCCUCCCUCUUUUCCUCUCCUUUAAGAAAUCACUGUAGGGGUCACGGCCCCUCCAGAUUCGUAAAAAAAAAAAAGACCAUGGAAGAGGUGGCAAAAGUUGAUCAAAGAGUAAGUUGAACCGACUUAAAACGUCCAUAGAGGCUACAAACAAUGAGUGUCAAUCUCGCUGUCCACGUUUGCCAUUACUCAGUCACUCACUCGCCAGUUGCCAACAGCCGACACGAAGGAACCACCAGGCCCACAGCCUUUUCUCGUAGAGCAGAUCUUGUCAGUUCUUCCUGAUGAAAAUUUUGCCCAACGAGCGAGUGAAUCAUCCUCUUUGAAGCCCGCUGUGACUUGUGAGGUGGCACAGCCGACGAGAUGUCUACCGGCAACAGGAAGAAGACGGCGUGCGUGACCGGAGGGAACGGGUACAUCGCCUCCGCGCUCAUCAAGAUGCUGCUAGAGAGAGGGUACGCCGUGAAGACGACGGUCAGGAAACCCGGUUCGAUUAUUUGACCUUCCCCUUUUGUAGUGAUGUGUUUAGUCUGUGAAAGUGCUUUAUUGUGAUGAUUCUGAAUCCCAGAUGACAUGGAGAAGAACUCCCACCUUAAGGACCUGCAGACUCUUGGAUCCUUGGAGAUCUUCCGCGCCGACUUGGAUGAAGAUGGCAGCUUUGACGACGCCGUCGCCGGCUGCGACUACGCCUUCCUAGUCGCCGCUCCAGUGAACCUCCACACGAAGAAUCCUGAGGUGAACAAAUGUCACAGCUACUCGAGUUCCAUCUCUCGUUUGUCUAGAGUUGCUGACAGCAUCUGCUCAUACUGUUCAUCAACGUUCAUCCCUUGCUCAAUAAUUGGCGGCAGAAAGAGCUGAUCGAG